This 73-nucleotide ribosomal RNA is filed under the name Eubacterium sp. RNAcentral's name for it is "partial 16S ribosomal RNA". It matches the Rfam family "Bacterial small subunit ribosomal RNA", at positions 1 to 70 of the family's 1533-position model. The record is from RNAcentral. Lineage: Bacteria; Bacillati; Bacillota; Clostridia; Eubacteriales; Eubacteriaceae.
UUUCAAUUUGAGAGUUUGAUCCUGGCUCAGGAUGAACGCUGGCGGCGUGCUUAACACAUGCAAGUCGAACGAA